Long non-coding RNA from Pseudophryne corroboree (corroboree frog), 2473 nucleotides. RefSeq lists it as uncharacterized. The record is from RefSeq and is a predicted model, not a curated record. The transcript has 10 exons. Lineage: Eukaryota; Metazoa; Chordata; Amphibia; Anura; Myobatrachidae.
GCUACUCUAUUGAAUAUUGAGGUUUUUGGGUACCUGAAAGAAAAUGGUUUGCUUCUUCCAUUGGCAAUGUCUUCAAACAAUCUUGGAUGUUCUAGAUGGCUCUGUGGUGGGCAAUAAAAGCAUCAGGAUCCAGUGCUGCAGACUAGAGUUUCGGAUGCUGCUGGACAAGAUGUGUAUUUAGUUCAGUGCACAGGGCAGGUACUCUAUUGAAUGUUGAGGUUUUUGGGUACCUGAAAGAGAAAAUGGUUUGCUUCAUCCAUUAGCAAAUUUGCAAGAGGAAGCCAAUGUCUUGAAACACGGAGGACAGCUGUGUGGGUGACAUUAAAAGCAAACAUCAGGAUCCAGUGCUGCGGACUAUUGUGUCUCCGAAGCUGCCGGACUCAAUGUUUAUUGACUUCGGUGCACAGGGCAGCUACUUUAUUGAAUAUUGAGGUUUUUGGGUACCUGAAAGAAAAUGGUUUGCUUCUUCCAUUGGCAAUGUCUUCAAACAAUCUUGGAUGUUCUAGAUGGCUCUGUGGUGGGCAAUAAAAGCAUCAGGAUCCAGUGCUGCAGACUAGAGUUUCGGAUGCUGCUGGACAAGAUGUGUAUUUAGUUCAGUGCACAGGGCAGGUACUCUAUUGAAUGUUGAGGUUUUUGGGUACCUGAAAGAGAAAAUGGUUUGCUUCAUCCAUUAGCAAAUUUGCAAGAGGAAGCCAAUGUCUUGAAACACGGAGGACAGCUGUGUGGGUGACAUUAAAAGCAAACAUCAGGAUCCAGUGCUGCGGACUAUUGUGUCUCCGAAGCUGCCGGACUCAAUGUUUAUUGACUUCGGUGCACAGGGCAGCUACUUUAUUGAAUAUUGAGGUUUUUGGGUACCUGAAAGAAAAUGGUUUGCUUCUUCCAUUGGCAAUGUCUUCAAACAAUCUUGGAUGUUCUAGAUGGCUCUGUGGUGGGCAAUAAAAGCAUCAGGAUCCAGUGCUGCAGACUAGAGUUUCGGAUGCUGCUGGACAAGAUGUGUAUUUAGUUCAGUGCACAGGGCAGGUACUCUAUUGAAUGUUGAGGUUUUUGGGUACCUGAAAGAGAAAAUGGUUUGCUUCAUCCAUUAGCAAAUUUGCAAGAGGAAGCCAAUGUCUUGAAACACGGAGGACAGCUGUGUGGGUGACAUUAAAAGCAAACAUCAGGAUCCAGUGCUGCGGACUAUUGUGUCUCCGAAGCUGCCGGACUCAAUGUUUAUUGACUUCGGUGCACAGGGCAGCUACUUUAUUGAAUAUUGAGGUUUUUGGGUACCUGAAAGAAAAUGGUUUGCUUCUUCCAUUGGCAAUGUCUUCAAACAAUCUUGGAUGUUCUAGAUGGCUCUGUGGUGGGCAAUAAAAGCAUCAGGAUCCAGUGCUGCAGACUAGAGUUUCGGAUGCUGCUGGACAAGAUGUGUAUUUAGUUCAGUGCACAGACUUUACUAGGGCAGGUACUCUAUUGAAUGUUGAGGUUUUUGGGUACCUGAAAGAGAAAAUGGUUUGCUUCAUCCAUUAGCAAAUUUGCAAGAGGAAGCCAAUGUCUAGAAACACGGAGGACAGCUGUGUGGGUGACAUUAAAAGCAAGCAUCAGGAUCCAGUGCUGCGGACUAUUGUGUCUCCGAAGCUGCCGGACUCAAUGUUUAUUGACUUCGGUGCACAGCUACUCUAUUGAAUAUUGAGGUUUUUGGGUACCUGAAAGAAAAUGGUUUGCUUCUUCCAUUGGCAAUGUCUUCAAACAAUCUUGGAUGUUCUAAAUGGCUCUGUGGUGGGCAAUAAAAGCAUCAGGAUCCAGUGCUGCAGACUAGAGUUUCGGAUACUGCUGGACAAGAUGUGUAUUUAGUUCAGUGCACAGGGGCAGAGUACCCCUAGAUUGACAGAGCACCCCUGGAUGGAUACAGCAUGGACAGAGCACCCCUAGCACCUUGAUGGACAACAGUGCAGUAUCCUGGAUAGACAACACAGCACGGACACAUCCGCUCACUACAAGCUUCACAGCCGGAUUGAAAUGGCGCCGAUCACCGGGGGCCUUAUAUAGAUUCCAUAACCCGUGAGAAUACAACAGCAGGAGGAUGACGUUUGUCCUCGUUUUGAGACCUGGAGGGAAAACCGAAGCUGGACACGGAUCCUGGCCUGGAUCAGGAAGUUUGGGUUGGUCCGGUUCUCAGGGAACCGGACCCACUCAUCUAUAAAUAUUAUCUGCAAUUUAUUUUCUUAACGUGAAAAGUGGGGUUGUUGUUAUUAUCAUCCUUUUUCUCCGGCAGGGUCCACAGGUUAUCAACAGGAUAACAAAUGGGAUAUGAUGGAGCGACAGCGGAUUUGCACAAAUCAGUCAAAGCUUUCUGGCCUCCCAGCAUGCAACAGACCCGUCCAUAUAUCCCCACCGCCUGGCUCAGGCAAAUCAGUUUUUUGUUUGGUGCAGCAAGAGCCGGACCAUGGUCAGAGAGCUGCUGUUUCUUUAGCAGCCCCAAGCUUUCUUAUUUUAU